CUCUGAGAGACCAGUGUAUGGAAAAGUAUUCUGGCUUCUCUGUCUCAAUAGUUAAUUUCAUUCUACCUUUAAAAUCAAAGUGCCGCUACACAAUAAAGUUCAUGGAAUAGUCUUUUGAUGUCUUGAAUACUUAGCACUUUCUCUGGCAUUAUAAAAUAACUUUAUAGGGCAGUUAAUCAAGUGACAGUAAGAGGCAUACUCUACAGAGAGCUCAUUUUGAUAUUUAAUACGAUGAAUACUGAUCUCCAAAGUUGAAGGCAGUCUCAUUUGCAUAUGUACAUAGGAUGCCAGUACUCCAUCAAAGCAGUUAACUAUCAGUCAAAAUGUGACAUGCCCUGCUAAAUCAAGGAACUGACAAAAGACAGAUCCAUUCCACUCAAUAUCUAUUCAACUUUCAUGUUUACAGUUCUGUAGCAGUCUCUGGGAAAAAGCAGUAAAGGAAGCAGGAUGGUACUUCCUAUCUCUCAGGAGAGCACAAACCUCAGGAUUUCCUGACAAGGAUUACCUCGAAAAUUAGCCAUUAAGAGAAGCUAAGAAGAAAAAAUAACAUACCUGGUAAUUUCAAGACCCCACAGCAUUAAGGAAGUUCAUGGAGAAGUUUCUAAAGGAACUCUGGAUACCACAAUGAUCCUACUUCCUCUAUUGUUUUCUCUCAUGCUAUGCAAUAAAGUUGCAAUGCUUCAAAAAUUUACAUCAGCACAUCUCAGUGGAAGCAUGAUUCUGGAAACAGAGGAAACCAAGCUUUCUACAGUUGAACCACAUCUAUCAACCUUGAAGAAAUGUAGAAGAACAACAGCAACAACAGCAAAAUCUAACCGCACA
Molecule: long non-coding RNA, 822 nt
Organism: Mus musculus (house mouse)
Lineage: Eukaryota; Metazoa; Chordata; Mammalia; Rodentia; Muridae
Product: predicted gene, 34526
Exons: 4
Source: RefSeq, a predicted model, not a curated record